AUUCCUGCUUUUGCAAUCUGGGAGGAACAACAAAAGGAGUCUCUCUGUGCCUCUGUCCCUCAGAUGGGGGUGCACGGGCUUCCACCAGCAAAACAUUUCCAUGUGGCUCUCGAUGGGCAGGGGACUCAGCGGCCAGCAUGGACCUGCUUUUCUAAAACUUGGGUCUGAGUCCAGGUCCAGCCCCUUCUUUGCUAUGUGGACUUUGAGGAGCAAUUGAAUCUCUGUGUCUUGUUACCAUUCAGCCAGCUGUCCACCAAUUCAGAGCGUGUUCACUGAGCACCUGCUACGUGCUGGCCUUGGGUUAAGUGCUGGAGAUAUCAAUGUGCCCUCCUGGAGCGUGUGGACCAGAGAGACAGAAUUAAACCACUAACAACAAAUAAGAGUGAGGGCUGUGGUCUCAGAGGCCUUGCAGUGGACACAUGGACAGAAAGUCCAGUCCUGGGGAGUCAAUGACACGCAAGAUAAAUCUCUGAGCAGCAAGGACAGUCAAGAUGCAAGCGUCGCUCCUUGGACUCUGAAACCUGUGUCAUUUCCUCCCUGCUUUGCAGUGCUGCCCACACAACAGCUGUUGGGUGCCGGGAAUUAGGAAUCCGGAUUCAGAGCCUGCCCAUGUGUGGCCGAGGCGACGGGCCUUCCCAGGUGUGGUGCCACAUGCCCAGAAGGCUGCUCUACAGAGGGAGGAGAACGGGGCUGGUUGCAGGGGGAAGCCGAGUUGUCUCCCCAGCAAACACUCCCAGGCACCCCUUCCUGCUUUCGAAGAGAACCUCCAUUUUCUUUGGGAAGCCCCCCUUCCCCAUAGGAUGGUGGCGAUCCCCUUUACCUCGCCAGUGAUCCACUCGGCACCUGACUCAGCUGUGGCCAAAGCGGCACGGGCCAGGGCUAGAGGAGCUUCUGGAGGGCUCCUAAGAAAGAGACGCCUGGGAAAAGCAGCCCUCUCUAGGAUUAGAUGCAGCCCUGUCUUCAUGUGUGGGCCACCGUGAUGCCAGGAAAGGAGCACUCGCCACAGAGCCAGCGAUGGAGGUGAGUGGGAAGGAAAGACGGGAUAGACCAGAUGCCGGAACACGACGGAGCCUCCAGAGAAGGCCACUGGGGCAUCCUACGUCAGGACCCGCUGUGAUGUGGGAAAACAUACUUUUCUCAUUGUGUGGGCAAGAGAGAAGACAGCAAGGCAUACAAAUGAUCUGCAAACAUUAUUGAGCACCUACUAUGUGCCAACUAUUGUUUUAGGCUCUGGGGACAUAAGAAUGAAUAACCCUGAGAAGGUGGCCAUAGUAAUGUUUGUGCCAUAUCACGCUAUCUUGUGGUUUAUUUUAUGUUUCUGCUAUGCUAGAUAGGGAGGGGAGCGGGAAGACAGAGCUAUGUCUUGAUUAUCUUGGUAUCUGCAGUAUGUAGUCCAGCUCAACAGGCAUUUGUUGAAUGACUGAAUGACUAUUUACAGAGGGCACACUAUGGGCCAGGAACCUGUCUGGGGUCUUAGAUAUGGCCAUGAACAAGAUGGAUGCAGCCCUUGCCUUCUUGGAGCUCAUAUUUGGCAGGGGGUCGCCAAGAUAUAUGCUGCACAGUACAUGAUGAGCACAAGGAGUGUUUCCUAGAGAAAGUACUGGAUGUUUUGCCUCAACAGUCCACAUCAGUGUGCAGGUAAUUAGCAUUACUCGGGGCACUGAAGGAAGGGUUGUCACAAUGACAACAAAGCAGUACCCAUUGAGAGGCAGGAGGGCGUGGUCUGAACUCCAGCUUGGCCAAUGGCCACUGUUGGAACUUGGCAAGAUUCUCCUUGCUGGUGCCAUGAAGUCCGCGGCCAUGUUGAGGAAGCCCUGAGGGCAAAGAACCAUGGGAAGCUUCUAGAAUCUGAGGGUGGCCUCUGGGUGACAGUCAACAAAAUGCCAGGGACCUGCUCAGAUAGCCACAAGGAAAUGAAUUCUGACCACAACCUGAGGGAGCAUAGCAGUGGGUUGUUCCCCAGUAGAGCCUCCAGAUGAGAACACAGCCUAGCCAAUGUCACAAGGAUUGCAGCCUUGUGAGACUCGGAGCAGAGGACCCAUUUAAGCAUUCCUGGACUCCUGGACCUAAACUGAGAAAUAAUAAAUGUAUAUUGCUGGAGGCCA
Molecule: long non-coding RNA, 2105 nt
Filed under: Homo sapiens (human)
Lineage: Eukaryota; Metazoa; Chordata; Mammalia; Primates; Hominidae
Description: HSALNT0290376
Source: RNAcentral